This is a long non-coding RNA of Esox lucius (northern pike), 1276 nucleotides long. RefSeq lists it as uncharacterized. Lineage: Eukaryota; Metazoa; Chordata; Actinopteri; Esociformes; Esocidae. The transcript is spliced from 3 exons. The record is from RefSeq and is a predicted model, not a curated record.
GUCUGACUGGCACACACUCACACACUCACGUGGAGGUCAGCAAGAAACAAUAUAGAUUUAGGGGGAUGUCUGAGUGUGUGGUAAACACGUGCAGAAGGUGUGGGCUGUGAAUGUCCCAAUGACAGUGCUGGAGGAGUCACUGAGAAACACUCGCCAUGAUCUUGGCACAGAGAGCGUUGGGCCUGUGCAAAACACAUCCAGGAGAUCACCUUAAAAGGAGGGGGACUCUUCACUGUUAUCAGAAGCCAGAGGAGCUGCUUCUAUCCCAGCUGGUUCCGCCUCAUCCUACAGCCUUCCUCUGUUUUCUUUGACUAGUCACCUACUUGUAUGUGAUUUCAUUGUCUACAAUGGGUGUGCGGGAUUUCUUUGUUUGAUUCCUGUGGCCACCAACAUGUAAAAUACAUGCCCACAUGACUGCACAUCUCUUUGGAUAAAAGCCUCUGUUAAAUGGUAUAUACCAUCAUUGUGUCAUUUUUCACAGACAAGAAAUUACUUUAGACAUAUUGAAUAUUUUAUUGCUGCUCAAAGUUAUAUAUCCAGUGAAGUGGAAGCUGACAAGACAACCCAGUGACUCAGGCAAGAGGCUAUGUCUAGUAGAGUGAUGGCGAAAUAGAAAAUUAUGUUUUUUCAAAAAAAGUUAAAUGUCUUGUGUAGCACUUGACUGCUGUCAAUAACGUAAGUCACUCUGGAUGAGAACGCCUGUUGACUUAAACGUAAAUGUUAAAAAAGCUUGUUAAAAAGGUGCAUGCAUCCUGUUAAAUAAAAGCCAUACACCUUUAUUGAUUGUAACAGUAAGAACCAAAACACAAGUUGAUCAGGAGAGCACACUUUUUCCAUGACUUGUGUCCUUUUGAUCUCAUCCUAAUUUUAGGAUACUGUGUCACUUGUGUCACUGUGUCACUUCCUGGCACUGCAGGUUGCCGUGCCAAUAAGAUCCAAUGCCGUCUCUCCCUCAUUUAGAGCACAAACACCUGUUUGUUGUUAUUGCCCUCACCUGUGUUCCUGAUCACUGUCCCUAUUUAAAAAAAGGACAGUCCAUUUAGAAUUUCUUCCUUUCACAGUGGCUCAGGUCAGUCUUUGUUUGAUUUCUACACCAAUGUGAUGUUGUGGUGUUUUUGUGUGUUUAUUUCAGUUUUGUUUUUAUUAAAUGUUCUUUUUAUUAAAUGUUCUCAUUUCUUCCUGCCUCAACUCUUCAAUGUUACACACUGGGUUUAGAAAAUGUUUGAUAAAAUGGUGUGUUCUGUGCCAGAACAUUUAAGCAGUAACAUGUAUACAU